GAUGAAGAACGUAGCGAAAUGCGAUAAGUAGUGUGAAUUGCAGAAUUCAGUGAAUCAUCGAAUAUUUGAACGCACAUUGCGCCCCUUGGUAUUCCAUGGGGCAUGCCUGUUCGAGCGUCAUUUGUACCUUCAAGCUUUGCUUGGUGUUGGGUGUUUGUCCAUUCUCUUGCAGAGGGACUCGCCUUAAAGUAAUUGGCAGCCAGUGUUUUGGUUUUGAAGCGCAGCACAAGUCGCGAUUCAACGCUAUACGCCAGCUUCCACAAGCCUUUUUCACUUUUGACCUCGGAUCAGGUAGGGAUACCCGCUGAACUUAAGCAUAUCAAUAAGCGGAGGA
RNAcentral lists this unclassified non-coding RNA (334 nucleotides) under soil metagenome. Its description in RNAcentral is "partial contains 5.8S ribosomal RNA, internal transcribed spacer 2, and large subunit ribosomal RNA". The stretch from base 1 to 120 matches the Rfam family "5.8S ribosomal RNA", at positions 35 to 154 of the family's 154-position model. The record is from RNAcentral.